This 114-nucleotide small RNA is filed under the name Rhodanobacter fulvus Jip2. RNAcentral describes it as "t44 RNA". It matches the Rfam family "t44 RNA". Rfam says of the family: This family consists of a number of bacterial RNA genes of between 135 and 170 bases in length. The t44 gene is found between the map and rpsB genes in all species in the full alignment apart from Shigella flexneri. The function of this RNA is unknown. Lineage: Bacteria; Pseudomonadati; Pseudomonadota; Gammaproteobacteria; Lysobacterales; Rhodanobacteraceae. The record is from Rfam by way of RNAcentral.
CAACACCCAAACCAACGCCACACACGUAUCGGCACCGUCUUCGGGGUGCUGCGCCCUGCCCACUCACAAACCGGGCAGUCGCGGUCGAAGUCGGGGAUGCGUGGAGGUCCCAAC